ACACCUAUGGGACGCAGCAGUGAGGAAUAUUGGUCAAUGGACGCAAGUCUGAACCAGCCAUGCCGCGUGCAGGAAGACGGCUCCAUGAGUUGUAAACUGCUUUUGUACGAGGGUAAACGCAGAUACGUGUAUCUGUCUGAAAGUAUCGUACGAAUAAGGAUCGGCUAACUCCGUGCCAGCAGCCGCGGUAAUACGGAGGAUUCAAGCGUUAUCCGGAUUUAUUGGGUUUAAAGGGUGCGUAGGCCGGCUUUUAAGUCAGCUGUGAAAGUCCGCGGCUCAACCGUGGAAUUGCAGUUGAAACUGGA
Molecule: ribosomal RNA, 305 nt
Filed under: uncultured bacterium
Lineage: Bacteria
Description: bacterial SSU rRNA
Rfam family: Bacterial small subunit ribosomal RNA
Source: RNAcentral